UCAUAGGUCUUCUUUGGAGCCUCUGAUUCCUUGAGACCCAGGAAGGAUGCCUCACCAUCCGCAUCCACAUCCACAUCCACAUCCACAGCAGCAGCAGCAUCAGCAUCACCAUCAGUGCAAGGAGCCCUGCCAUCCACCUCCAAAAGUGUGCCCACCGAAGUGCCAUGAGCCUUGCCCACCCCAUCCAUGCCCACCUCCAGUGAGCCAGCAGAAAUGCCCUCCUGGGCCACCAUGCCCACCAUGGGAGCAGAAGUGUCCACCCAAGUGGAAGUAACAGCACCAUGUUCCAGGCUCUUCCAUUGUCCUUCUUUCGGCCAUGGUGAUGGGUUGCGACUUCCUUAAUCUCCCUCCUGGACUGCCAGCUGACAGAGAAAAGCCUUGGUUCCUGAAUCUGACACCACGUUUGUGGAAGAGCAGUAGGAUCAUUGCUUGAUCUCUCUUUGCCAUCUGUGUGUCUGUAUCCAUGUUGCAAUCUCUACCCCAUGAGCAAAUGGUGUGUUUAUUCCUUUGCUUCUCCAAUAAAGCAUAUUCAUAGCCCAUUAGUAUUGCUUUCUUUCUUUCUUUUUCUUUUUGCAUAUAGUGUUUUUCAUCUCUUCUGUCAG
This is a long non-coding RNA of Ovis aries (sheep), 602 nucleotides long. The record is from Ensembl. Lineage: Eukaryota; Metazoa; Chordata; Mammalia; Artiodactyla; Bovidae.